RNAcentral lists this long non-coding RNA (376 nucleotides) under Homo sapiens (human). RNAcentral describes it as "non-protein coding lnc-VGLL4-2:1". The record is from RNAcentral. Lineage: Eukaryota; Metazoa; Chordata; Mammalia; Primates; Hominidae.
GGACAGGUCUCUUUGUCAGUGAACAAGGGCGUCACUCUGGGAGGGGUCGGCGGUGCUGGCGGCCGGGUCCCUGGUGCACUGACCUAUCUGGGAUAGGCAGUACCCUGGAGGGGGGCCUGGGGCAGAGGAGGCAGCAGAAAACCAAACAUUUCACUGAGAAAGCCCCCUCCCUGCUCUAAGAAGGGGCUCCGUGAAGUUCUUCCCAGAGCCGCGCUGCCUGCAGUGCGCUCUGACCUUCUCUUCAUGUGUGUAAAUCUGUAAUAUACCAUUCUCUGUGGCCUGUUUUUCCUGGAAGAAGAAAAAAAAAGGUUUGGCAGGCCAUCUUUUUUUGUACUUAAAAGUAGCCUUAAGAACAAUAAUAAAGUGCUCUUAAACC